This 96-nucleotide signal recognition particle RNA is filed under the name Ignavibacteriales bacterium. Its description in RNAcentral is "signal recognition particle sRNA small type". It matches the Rfam family "Bacterial small signal recognition particle RNA". From Rfam's summary of the family: The signal recognition particle (SRP) is a universally conserved ribonucleoprotein involved in the co-translational targeting of proteins to membranes. Archaeal SRP consists of a 7S RNA and homologues of the eukaryotic SRP19 and SRP54 proteins. Lineage: Bacteria; Pseudomonadati; Ignavibacteriota; Ignavibacteria; Ignavibacteriales. The record is from RNAcentral.
GCCAGACAGCGAUUGGCAGAUUGGUACCCAACUCCGUGAGGUCCGGAAGGAAGCAGCGGUCAGUAUUUAGUCUGGGUAGUCGUGUUGUCUGGCUUU